This 1527-nucleotide ribosomal RNA is filed under the name Bacillus subtilis. RNAcentral's name for it is "bacterial SSU rRNA". It matches the Rfam family "Bacterial small subunit ribosomal RNA". Lineage: Bacteria; Bacillati; Bacillota; Bacilli; Caryophanales; Bacillaceae. The record is from RNAcentral.
CUUCGACAACCAGAGUUUGAUCCUGGCUCAGGACGAACGCUGGCGGCGUGCCUAAUACAUGCAAGUCGAGCGGACAGAUGGGAGCUUGCUCCCUGAUGUUAGCGGCGGACGGGUGAGUAACACGUGGGUAACCUGCCUGUAAGACUGGGAUAACUCCGGGAAACCGGGGCUAAUACCGGAUGGUUGUUUGAACCGCAUGGUUCAAACAUAAAAGGUGGCUUCGGCUACCACUUACAGAUGGACCCGCGGCGCAUUAGCUAGUUGGUGAGGUAACGGCUCACCAAGGCGACGAUGCGUAGCCGACCUGAGAGGGUGAUCGGCCACACUGGGACUGAGACACGGCCCAGACUCCUACGGGAGGCAGCAGUAGGGAAUCUUCCGCAAUGGACGAAAGUCUGACGGAGCAACGCCGCGUGAGUGAUGAAGGUUUUCGGAUCGUAAAGCUCUGUUGUUAGGGAAGAACAAGUACCGUUCGAAUAGGGCGGUACCUUGACGGUACCUAACCAGAAAGCCACGGCUAACUACGUGCCAGCAGCCGCGGUAAUACGUAGGUGGCAAGCGUUGUCCGGAAUUAUUGGGCGUAAAGGGCUCGCAGGCGGUUUCUUAAGUCUGAUGUGAAAGCCCCCGGCUCAACCGGGGAGGGUCAUUGGAAACUGGGGAACUUGAGUGCAGAAGAGGAGAGUGGAAUUCCACGUGUAGCGGUGAAAUGCGUAGAGAUGUGGAGGAACACCAGUGGCGAAGGCGACUCUCUGGUCUGUAACUGACGCUGAGGAGCGAAAGCGUGGGGAGCGAACAGGAUUAGAUACCCUGGUAGUCCACGCCGUAAACGAUGAGUGCUAAGUGUUAGGGGGUUUCCGCCCCUUAGUGCUGCAGCUAACGCAUUAAGCACUCCGCCUGGGGAGUACGGUCGCAAGACUGAAACUCAAAGGAAUUGACGGGGGCCCGCACAAGCGGUGGAGCAUGUGGUUUAAUUCGAAGCAACGCGAAGAACCUUACCAGGUCUUGACAUCCUCUGACAAUCCUAGAGAUAGGACGUCCCCUUCGGGGGCAGAGUGACAGGUGGUGCAUGGUUGUCGUCAGCUCGUGUCGUGAGAUGUUGGGUUAAGUCCCGCAACGAGCGCAACCCUUGAUCUUAGUUGCCAGCAUUCAGUUGGGCACUCUAAGGUGACUGCCGGUGACAAACCGGAGGAAGGUGGGGAUGACGUCAAAUCAUCAUGCCCCUUAUGACCUGGGCUACACACGUGCUACAAUGGACAGAACAAAGGGCAGCGAAACCGCCGCGGUGAAUACGUUCCCGGGCCUUGUACACACCGCCCGUCACACCACGAGAGUUUGUAACACCCGAAGUCGGUGAGGUAACCUUUUAGGAGCCAGCCGCCGAAGGUGGGACAGAUGAUUGGGGUGAAGUCGUAACAAGGUAGCCGUAUCGAGGUUAAGCCAAUCCCACAAAUCUGUUCUCAGUUCGGAUCGCAGUCUGCAACUCGACUGCGUGAAGCUGGAAUCGCUAGUAAUCGCGGAUCAGCAUGC